GUGCCGGUGUGUGAGGCGAGGACAUCGAGGUGGAUGAUGGCGGCUCUCCUCUUUUUGCUGCAGUUUCUCUUCUUUGGGACUUUAGUUGUCCCAGCAUAUAUGCAGAUGCCAGAAUGCAAUCUGACUCAGAGUACAGACACAGGCAAUUUCUCUGUAACCGUGACACCCCAGGACUACAGCCCAAACACCACCUACAUAGUUACGAUAGUUGACAGCAAUAACACCAGAAAUGCGACCAACUAUUUACUGCAGGCCAUAGCCAUCCAAAAUGUCUCUGUUGGAGAAUGGAGUGUGCCAGAGCAGCAAAACUGCAGUGCUCUUACCACAGCAGUGUUACCAAACACUCAGAAAACAGCAAACUGGACAUCCCCAGCCACUAACUUCUCUUCUGUGGAAAUAAGGGCAUACAUUGUCUUUGAAAAUAAUUCCACUGUGUUCAGGACUGUGACUCUGACCCAAGGAGCAAAGCCAACCAGCAGCACCAACUCCGUCUCCACAGUUCAGAGCAGCUCCUUCUUCAUAGCCACCAUCCAGCUGCUGAUGCUCCUCGCCACAAGCAAACUGCUCUCCUAGGCGUCGGGGAGAGAAGAUGACCCAGCUGUGCUGUACCUUCCCUUCCUGCCUACAGCACUCGUGGCAGAGCAGGCAGCUGAUCUACUCAGGAAAAUUAUUAACUUCUUGUGUGUAUUCGGAUGAUAACUGCACUUCUACAUUAAAUGAUAAGGGUCUAUGGCUACAAAGCUCCCCUUAAUCCCCUCACCCAGGAGCAGCACACCCAGCAAGGUGAAAUGUUUGUGGCAAGCCAGACCUCACUGUGGGUAGGACAGCUGAAAAGCAUAGCCAAGGUCAUUUAGGAGCAGACCCUGUCCAACCAAGGGGCACUGGGUGAGCUCAUCCCUUCCUCGUCACCUGGGGCUCUGUGAAGCACAAAAAAAAAGUGUGAAAGCACUCACAAGAGGGAAAAGGCCUUCUUCUCUUUGUGAAUUGGGGUCUGCUGAGAAGCUCAAGGUGAGGUUUGCCACCAUCUUAAAGCCUCCAGCACAAGCACAGUGAAGACAAAGGCACCCACCAAGCCUCCACCUGGGGAGGGGAGCCCUCCCCGAGACAAGCUGGAGAUCCUGCUGGCAGGGUGUCCUCCCCAGAGACCCCAGGCCUUGGAAACUCACACUGUGUUAUUCUCUAGCCCAGCAUUCCCUGAUUUUUUCUGUUUCACUGGAUGCCCUGUAAAGGUCCCCUGGAUUUGUUCUGGCUUUCUGGAAUGAGAGGUUGGGUAUUUUUUAUUCUCAUUUUUUAAUCAGCAACUGAUUUUGCUGUGGGGUAAGAUUGGGUGGGCCACUGAAUGUCUUGAUUUUAUUGUUUGUAUUUUUAUAUGAAUAGAGGUUAUUUAGGGGUUUUCAAAACUUCUGGAAAGUAAUUUUAUCUUAAAUUAAUCUAAAUAAAUUAAGGAAUGAAAGUUGGCUCUUGCA
Molecule: long non-coding RNA, 1466 nt
Filed under: Anas platyrhynchos platyrhynchos (common mallard)
Lineage: Eukaryota; Metazoa; Chordata; Aves; Anseriformes; Anatidae
Description: lncRNA (ENSAPLG00000029712.1)
Source: RNAcentral